AUAUUUACCUGGCAGGGGAGAGACCAUGAUCAUGAUCACGGUGGUUUUUCCAGGGCAAGGCUUAUUCAUUGCACUCAGGAUGUGGUGACCCCUGUGGUUUCCCCAAAUGUGGGGAACUCAACAGCAAAAUUUGUGGUAGUGGGGACUGCAUUCAUGCUCUCUCAUG
Molecule: small nuclear RNA, 166 nt
Organism: Talpa occidentalis (Iberian mole)
Lineage: Eukaryota; Metazoa; Chordata; Mammalia; Eulipotyphla; Talpidae
Product: U1 spliceosomal RNA
Exons: 1
Source: RefSeq, a predicted model, not a curated record